GGAUUUUAGGUCUUUUUUAUUUGAAAAUAUUAUUUUCAUCAGGAAGUCUCAUGUAAAUGGUGCCAUCACUGUUGUUGGGAAAUGUGAACUAGCAGUUAGCAUUCCCAAGUUACCUUCAGCACUGUCCACUUGUUCUGAUCAUAGCGGAAAUAGGACCCUUGGUUUCUGACCUUUGGUAGAAGCUCUAAAUUCUCUUAAAUGCUCUCCCCUAGAUUUCUUAUCACUGAUCAUGUGGAUCUCAUUUUCUACUCGCUAUGAAUGUUAGAGCUUGAAGAAAGCUUUGAGGUAAUGGGCUGUGGAAGACAGAAGAGUGAACCAGUCACCUUCCUUGUUCUUCAGUUCAGACAAUCCUUCGUUUGGACAACUGGAGGAUGAAGAUCCCUGGACAUAAUGAAAGAUGCAGUGCACAGAAGUGGAGCUUGCUUCUAAGGACCAGAAAUGUUGUGUAUUGCUAGUUCUCGACUCGUUCCUGUUGUCACAAAGGAAGAUACAAACAAGUUAACGUCACACACUGCAUACCUCACGUCAGAUCU
RNAcentral lists this long non-coding RNA (533 nucleotides) under Gallus gallus (chicken). RNAcentral describes it as "long non-coding RNA NONGGAT009229". Lineage: Eukaryota; Metazoa; Chordata; Aves; Galliformes; Phasianidae. The record is from RNAcentral.